GACAGAGGGUGCAAACGUUGCUCGGAAUUACUGGGCGUAAAGCGCGUGUAGGUGGAUUGGUGUGUCAGAUGUGAAAGCCCUGGGCUCAACCCAGGAACUGCACCUGAAACUACCAGUCUUGAGUGGUGGAGAGGGAAGUGGAAUUCCUGGUGUAGAGGUGAAAUUCGUAGAUAUCAGGAGGAACACCAGUGGCGAAGGCGGGUUGCUGGGCUGAUACUGACGCUGAUGCGCGAAAGCCAGGGGAGCGAACGGG
This 253-nucleotide ribosomal RNA is filed under the name uncultured bacterium. RNAcentral's name for it is "partial 16S ribosomal RNA". It matches the Rfam family "Bacterial small subunit ribosomal RNA", at positions 524 to 776 of the family's 1533-position model. The record is from RNAcentral.